RNAcentral lists this ribosomal RNA (110 nucleotides) under Dichaea campanulata. Its description in RNAcentral is "partial 18S ribosomal RNA". It matches the Rfam family "Eukaryotic small subunit ribosomal RNA", at positions 1707 to 1831 of the family's 1831-position model. The record is from RNAcentral. Lineage: Eukaryota; Viridiplantae; Streptophyta; Magnoliopsida; Asparagales; Orchidaceae.
CGGGCGGUUCGCUGCUCGCGACUCGGCGAGAAGUCCAUUGAACCUUAUCAUUUAGAGGAAGGAGAAGUCGUAACAAGGUUUCCGUAGGUGAACCUGCGGAAGGAUCAUUG